AGUAAACGCAGCCAUGAAUUUUCGUGUCCAACUUUGAUCAUCCGUUUAUUUGAAAUUUUUUUAUGAUUAGCAUUUUAUUGUUAUUAGAUUAUAAAACAUGAGUUAUACUUUAUACGUAACUUAUGUUUUAUAAUUUAUUUGAAAAAAAAUUCAAAUAAGAUGAACGAUUAAAGUUAGACACGAAAAAUCAUGGAUGCGCUUAUU
Non-coding RNA from Oryza glumipatula, 204 nucleotides. NCBI's taxonomy places the organism in Eukaryota, Viridiplantae, Streptophyta, Magnoliopsida, Poales, Poaceae. The record is from Rfam.